Molecule: small RNA, 786 nt
Filed under: Plasmodium praefalciparum (nom. ined.)
Lineage: Eukaryota; Apicomplexa; Aconoidasida; Haemosporida; Plasmodiidae
Description: Plasmodium sp. gorilla clade G1 ncRNA
Source: RNAcentral
AAAAAUAAUAUAUAAUAAUAAAAAUGCUGAAGAAAAAAAAUAUUUUUUAACAUAUUAUUAAAUAUUUUAUGAUGAGUUUUUUUAUAUUUUUCAUAUAUUUUAUAAUUGUUAGGAUCUUAAUAUUAUUUCAUUUAAUUAUAAAUAAAUAAAUAUAUAUUUAUAUAUAAUAUAUAUUUUAACCAUAAGUAUAUAUUUACAUAUUAUUAUCUUGCUUUUUCAAUUUUAUUAAUUAUUUUAUAAUAUAUUCACAUGAAAAAAGUUUUUUAGAAUUCAAUAAUUCAUACAAUAAUAAAAACAACUUUUUUACCAUUUUAUUUUCAGUACGUAUAAAUACUAUUUUUCAAAAUUGGAAAUAAAAAACAAAGGAAAACCACGAAAAAAUUAUUUAUUAUGUUAAUAAUUUGAUUACCCAUUUAACAAUUUAUUGUACCCCAAUAUAGGCAUGUUAAGUAAAAUAAGUGGGGGUGUAUACAUAUAUAAUAUAUAAUGAUAUGUGCAUUCUUUUUUUGAAUACAUUUUUAUUAUAUCGUUUAUAUACCAAAUGAACAUAAAAUUGAACUACAUAAAUAUGCCAUUUUUUCAUGAAGUCAAAUCUUAGGUUAAAAAUGUAAUCCGUAUGAAUUGUCAUUUGACAAACAUCUGUGAAAGGGAUACAAAAACAUAAAGUAUUUUUUUUUUAUAUAUGUUCAAGUGAAUAUGUCCUCAUGAGGGCAAAUAAAUAUAAUGUAAAAUAUUCUUUUACUUUAAAUAUUUUUAAUUUUUAAAAUUUCAGAUUAUAAAGAUAUU